UCAAGGCUUUGCCUUCAGAAGGACCCUAAUUACAAUAUAAUAUAUUACUUGAGAUGCAUAAUGCAUUAACUCAGUAACAGUCAUUUAAGGGAUUACUUGAAGAGUCCUGAGCAGGGGAUGAGAAGAGUACAUGUUUAAGGGCUGAGGGAAGAAACCUGGAAGGUCAAGGACUGGAGUAUAGAUCUUUGGGAGAGAAGAAAUACAGGAGAAUGGCAGUUGGUUAUAUCAGAAGGCUUAGGGAAAUAUGCAUCUCUCUCUUCUUAAGAGUCAACUUCACAGGACAAUUAAGCACUCUUAUCUGAGAAGUGAAGAUAAUUCCACCACCCUCUGGCAUGAGAGGAAG
Phascolarctos cinereus (koala) is the source of this 343-nucleotide non-coding RNA. The record is from RefSeq and is a predicted model, not a curated record. NCBI's taxonomy places the organism in Eukaryota, Metazoa, Chordata, Mammalia, Diprotodontia, Phascolarctidae.